Molecule: ribosomal RNA, 405 nt
Filed under: uncultured bacterium
Lineage: Bacteria
Description: bacterial SSU rRNA
Rfam family: Bacterial small subunit ribosomal RNA
Source: RNAcentral
GGACGAACGCUGGCGGCGUGCUUAACACAUGCAAGUCGAGCGGUAAGGCCCUUUCGGGGGUACACGAGCGGCGAACGGGUGAGUAACACGUGGGUGACCUGCCCUCAGCUCUGGGAUAAGCCUGGGAAACUGGGUCUAAUACUGGAUAUGACUCCACGGUGCAUGUCGUGGGGUGGAAAGCCUUGUGCGGCUGAGGAUGGGCCCGCGGCCUAUCAGCUUGUUGGUGGGGUGANGGCCUACCAAGGCGACGACGGGUAGCCGGCCUGAGAGGGCGACCGGCCACACUGGGACUGAGACACGGCCCAGACUCCUACGGGAGGCAGCAGUGGGGAAUCUUGCGCAAUGGGCGAAAGCCUGACGCAGCGACGCCGCGUGAGGGAUGACGGCCUCGGUUGUAACGUACUU